GCGGGGGGUAGCUUGCUACCUCGCCGGUCGAUUGGCGGACGGGUGAGUAAUGCCUGGGGAGCUGCCCAAUCGAGGGGGAUACCAGUUGGAAACGACUGCUAAUACCGCAUACGCCCUGAGGGGGAAAGGUGGGGAUCUUCGGACCUACCGCGAUUGGAUGCGCCCAGGUGGGAUUAGCUAGUUGGUGAGGUAACGGCUCACCAAGGCGACGAUCUCUAGCUGGUCUGAGAGGAUGACCAGCCACACUGGAACUGAGACACGGUCCAGACUCCUACGGGAGGCAGCAGUGGGGAAUAUUGCACAAUGGGGGAAACCCUGAUGCAGCCAUGCCGCGUGUGUGAAGAAGGCCUUCGGGUUGUAAAGCACUUUCAGUCAGGAGGAAAGGUGGCUAGCUAAUACCUAGUUGCUGUGACGUUACUGACAGAAGAAGCACCGGCUAACUCCGUGCCAGCAGCCGCGGUAAUACGGAGGGUGCAAGCGUUAAUCGGAAUUACUGGGCGUAAAGCGCGCGUAGGCGGCUUAGUAAGUUGGAUGUGAAAGCCCCGGGCUCAACCUGGGAACUGCAUCCAAAACUGCUUGGCUAGAGUACAGUAGAGGGUGGUGGAAUUUCCUGUGUA
RNAcentral lists this ribosomal RNA (617 nucleotides) under uncultured bacterium. RNAcentral describes it as "bacterial SSU rRNA". It matches the Rfam family "Bacterial small subunit ribosomal RNA", at positions 68 to 677 of the family's 1533-position model. The record is from RNAcentral.